Molecule: non-coding RNA, 46 nt
Filed under: Schistosoma mansoni
Lineage: Eukaryota; Metazoa; Platyhelminthes; Trematoda; Strigeidida; Schistosomatidae
Source: RNAcentral
GCACAGCUGAGGAGUCCCAUAAUAGGACGAAACGGCUGUCCAGUAC